GCACGAAGGUUGGCUAAUCCUGGUCGGACAUCAGGAGGUUAGUGCAAUGGCAUAAGCCAGCUUGACUGCGAGCGUGACGGCGCGAGCAGGUGCGAAAGCAGGUCAUAGUGAUCCGGUGGUUCUGAAUGGAAGGGCCAUCGCUCAACGGAUAAAAGGUACUCCGGGGAUAACAGGCUGAUACCGCCCAAGAGUUCAUAUCGACGGCGGUGUUUGGCACCUCGAUGUCGGCUCAUCACAUCCUGGGGCUGAAGUAGGUCCCAAGGGUAUGGCUGUUCGCCAUUUAAAGUGGUACGCGAGCUGGGUUUAGAACGUCGUGAGACAGUUCGGUCCCUAUCUGCCGUGGGCGCUGGAGAACUGAGGGGGGCUGCUCCUAGUACGAGAGGACCGGAGUGGACGCAUCACUGGUGUUCGGGUUGUCAUGCCAAUGGCACUGCCCGGUAGCUAAAUGCGGAAGAGAUAAGUGCUGAAAGCAUCUAAGCACGAAACUUGCCCCGAGAUGAGUUCUCCCUGAGACUUAGAGUCUCCUGAAGGAACGUUGAAGACGACGACGUUGAUAGGCCGGGUGUGUAAGCGCAGCGAUGCGUUGAGCUAACCGGUACUAAUGAACCGUGAGGCUUAACCUUACA
This 626-nucleotide ribosomal RNA is filed under the name Salmonella enterica subsp. enterica serovar Schwarzengrund. RNAcentral describes it as "partial 23S ribosomal RNA". It matches the Rfam family "Bacterial large subunit ribosomal RNA", at positions 2308 to 2925 of the family's 2925-position model. The record is from RNAcentral. Lineage: Bacteria; Pseudomonadati; Pseudomonadota; Gammaproteobacteria; Enterobacterales; Enterobacteriaceae.